RNAcentral lists this long non-coding RNA (244 nucleotides) under Elaeis guineensis (African oil palm). RNAcentral's name for it is "long non-coding RNA (EGUI_LNC058728)". Lineage: Eukaryota; Viridiplantae; Streptophyta; Magnoliopsida; Arecales; Arecaceae. The record is from RNAcentral.
UCUCCAUCUAUCUUCUUCCCUAUCUAGAAUAUCCCAAUUUAAGAUCUAUGAAUUGAAAGACCUCAAUCCAGGUCUGAUCUAGUUGGGUACCAUAUCUUGAAAUUUUUAGAGGUAGUUUCAGAGGCGUUCUUCAUCUGGAACAAAAGGUUGACGAAGAAGACAGCAACCAGGCUGAUUUCGUCAAGGGCCUUGGAUCGUGUCUAGAAGACUCCAGAUCUAUUCGUUGCUGGUUCUGCUGCACCCA